AAUCCGAUAUCGAUUGGUCCUUGAAAUCGGACAAUUCAAGUUCGUACGAAGUUCGUUCUGAAAUGGGGUGGUUGGUGUAUUGUAUAGUUGUAGAGAUUGGAUUUCACUCAAAACCCACCAAAUGACUCCUCCUAGAAUAUUGUGAUGUUCCCCAAGUUUUGGACUCAAUCCGAUAUCGAUUGGUCCUUGAAAUCGGACAACUCAGGUUCGUACGAAGUUCGUUCUGAAAUGGGUUGGUUGGUGUAUUGUAUAGUUCUAGAGAUUGGAUUUCACUCAAAACCCACCAAAUGCCUCCUCCCACAAUAUUAUGAGGUUCCCCAAGUUUUGGACUCAAUCCGAUAUCGAUUGGUCCUUGAAAUCGGACAAUUCAGGUUCCUACGAAGUUUGUUCUGAAAUGGGGUGGUCGGUGUAUUGUAUAGUUCUACAGAUUGGAUUUCACUCAAAACCCACCAAAUGACUCCUCCCACAAUAUUAUGAUGUUCCCCAAGUUUUGGACUCAAUCCGAUACCGAUCGGUCUACGAAAUUUGACAAUUCAGGUUCGUACGAAGUUCAUUCUGAAAUGGAGUGGUUGGUGUACUGUAUAGUUCUAGGGAUUGUAUUGCACUCAAAACUGACCAAAUGACUCCUCCCAUAAUAUUAUGAUGUUCCCCAAGUUUUGGACUCAAUCCGAUAUCGAUUGGUCCUUGAAAUCGGACAAUUCAGGUUUGUACGAACUUCGUUCUGAAAUGGGGUGGUUGGUGUAUUUUAUAGUUCUAGAGAUUGGAUUUCACUCAAAACCCACCGAACGACUCCUUCCACAAUAUGAUGAUGUUCCCCAUGUUUUGGACUCAAUCCGAUAUCGAUUGGUCCUUGAAAUCGGACAAUUCAGGUUCGUACGAAGUUCGUUCUAAAAUGGGGUGGUUGGUGUAUUGUAUAGUUCUAGAGAUUGGAUUUCACUCAAAACCCACCAAAUGACUCCUCCCAGAAUAUUAUGUUGUUCCCCAAGUUUUGGACUCAAUCCGUUAUCGAUUGGUCAAUGAAAUCGGACAAUUCGGGUUCGUACGAAGUUCGUUCUGAAAUGGGGUGGUUGGUGUAUUGUAUAGUUCUAGAGAUUGGAUUUCACUCAAAACCCACCAAAUGACUCCUCCCAGAAUAUUGUGAACUUCCCCCAGUUUUGGACUCAAUCCGAUAUCGAUUGGUCCUUGAAAUCGGACAAUUCAGUUCCUACUAAGUUCGUUUUGAAAUGGGUGGUUGGUGUAUUGUGUAGUUCUUAGAGACUUGGAUUUGACUCAAAACCCACCCAAUGACUCCUCCCACAAUAAUAAUGAUAUUCCCCAAGUUUUGAACUCAUUCCGAUUACCGAUCGGUCUACAAAUUUGACAGUUNNNNNNNNNNNNNNNNNNNNNNNNNNNNNNNNNNNNNNNNNNNNNNNNNNNNNNNNNNNNNNNNNNNNNNNNNNNNNNNNNNNNNNNNNNNNNNNNNNNNGGUUCGUACGAAGUUCGUUCUGAAAAUGGAGUGGUUGGUGUACUGUAUAGUUCUAGGGAUUGUAUUUCACUCAAAACUUACCAAAUGACUCCUCCCACAAUAUUAUGAUGUUCCCCAAGUUUUGGACUCAAUCCGAUAUCGAUUGGUCCUUGAAAUCGGGCAAUUCAUGUUCGUACGAAGUUCGUUCUGAAAUGGGGUGGUUGGUGUAUUUUAUAGUUCUAGAGAUUGGAUUUCACUCAAAACCCACCGAACGACUCCUCCCACAAUAUUAUGAUGUUCCCCAAUUUUGGACUCAAUCCGAUAUCGAUUGGUUCUUGAAAUCAGACAAUUCAGGUUCGUACGAAGUUCGUUCUGAAGUGGGGUGGUUGGUGUAUUGUAUAGUUCUAGAGAUUGGAUUUCACUCAAAACCCACCAAAUGACUCCUCUCAGAAUAUUAUGAUGUUCCCCAAGUUUUGGACUCAAUCCGUUAUCGAUUGGUCAAUGAAAUCGGACAAUUCAGGUUCGUACGAAGUUCGUUCUGAAAUGGUUUGGUUGGUGUAUUGUAUAGUUCUAGAGAUUGGAUUUCACUCAAAACCCACUAAAUGACUCCUCCCACAAUAUUAUGAAGUUCCCCAAGUUUUGGACUCAAUCCGAUAUCGAUUGGUCCUUGAAAUCGGAUAAUUCAGGUUCCUACGAAGUUCGUUUUGAAAUAGGGUGGUUGGUGUAUUGUGUAGUUCUUGAGAUUGGAUUUGACUCAAAACCCACCAAAUGACUCCUCCCACAAUAUUAUGAUGUUCCCCAAGUUUUGGACUCAAUCCAAUAACGAUUGGUUGAUGAAAUCGGACAAUUCAGGUUCGUACGAAGUUCGUUCAGAAAUAGAGUGGCUGAUGUAUUGUAUUGUUCUGGAGAUUGGAUUUCACUCAAAAAUCACCAAAUGACUCCUCCCACAAUAUUACGUACCCUCCUUGAGGGAUCAAGCCACACGUAGUUCUUCCUUAAAACCCAAUUCCACACUUGGGCGAUACCUUAUUUCAUUUCUCUGGAUUUCAUGUAAUCUCCCCAUACGUCGGUACAACCAACGCCACGUAUGGGGCCUGUCAACACGCCGGAUGACCUACGCCACGUGCGACCAUGCCAUAUUAUCAUAAUAUCUCCCCAUACGCCGGUACAACCAACGCCACGUAUGGGGUCUGUCUCAACGCCAGAUAACCUACGCCACGCGAGACCUGCACAUCAUAUCACAUAACUCCCCAUACGCCGGUACAACCAACGCCACGUAUGGGGCCUGUCCCAACGCCGGAUAACCUACGCCACGUGGGACCUCAACAUCAUAUCACAAAUCUCCCCAUACGUCGGUACAACCAACGCCACGUAUGGGGUCUGUCGACACGCCGGAUAACCUACGCCACGUGCGACCUCAACACAAUAUCACAUAGCUCCCCAUACGCCGGUACAACCAACGCCACUUAUGGGGCCUGUCUCAACGCCGGAUAACCUACACCACGUGAGACCUAAACAUAAUAUCACAAAUCUCCCCAUACGCCGGUACAACCAACGCCACGUAUGGGGCCUGUUCCAACGCCGGAUAACCUACGCCACGCGGGACCUCAAUUUCACUUGGUGGUACUUGUAGUAAAUCCAACAUCCGGGGAGGUACCUAAAGUAGUGCGUAUAGCACUCAAAACUGACAUUCUAGACUCUGUUGUACCCUUGUACAACCAUAUAUAAUUAUAAUUAUAUAAAUUAAUUCUAAUUAUAUAAAUUAAUUCUAAUAUUGUGUAACCCUCCACAAUCAUCUAGUACCCGAUAAUCUCCCCUAGAAAUGUGAGAUUACUCCGGGAGACUCACGGUCAACCAAGGGUCAAACUUCUCUAACCCUGGUCAAACGGACCUGCAGAACCCAUGACCUCCAAUUUCCGAUCCGAAGGUCCCUAUGGGUUCUACCAGGUAUAGGACACUUGUCCUGCAAGUUUGGUUCAGAUCGGACGGUCGGAUUGCUCACGAUCGCACGAUCUGACGGUUAAUAUAAAAUAUAAACUUUAAAUUAUUAUUCGGAACAUCCGGGGCUCCGAUUCACGAUCCGUGAAUUCUUACACGAUCCUCGAAUUACCUAGAUUAACAUAUAUUAAAUUUGGGACCAUCCAACGGCCCCAACCUAUCGAACCCGGAUAACGCACAAUAUGCGAAUAUCCGUUCGAUAGUCAAACGACGUCCGAAUUGAGAUCCGCGAAAUCCUACACACUCGUGACAACCUAAGGAUCUCAUCGGAACACAUUGUUACUUUUUCCACAGUGCCCACGCGCCACCGCACGCGCCGGCAGCGCUGGGUGUCCAAAGCGAUAACGCUUUGCCGGAAAAUCUCAAAACCACGGCUCCAAACUCCUACCCUAGGUAUAACACCCUAUUUGGAGCCACUUUUGUUCUUGGACCUACCCCAAAAAGUGGCCGGAAAUGGCCGAUCACGGCGGCCAAAGUUUCGGCCGAUUUUCAAUUCGAAAAUCGAGUUGUCUACACUAAGAAUCGAUCUAAUCCUACCCAACCAUCAGCUAGAGCAGCUCGAGAGGUUCAAAAUCCAUACCUGGGUCGACGGAAUUGGUGGCCGGAGGAGGAAGAUCGGCGGUUUUGAAGUUUGGACGACGUCGGCCGCUUCAUCUCCAGAUUCCGGCGAAUCCGCGGCGGCUGGUGGUGGGAGGUAGCUGGGAUAGGAAGAGGACGACGGCCCGGUCAUUUUUGUACCGGUCCCGUCAUCAUUGGUGGCCGGAGGAGAGCACGGCCGGCCAAAACGUGGCCGGCUGUCGCGCGCGAGAGAGAGACCCGCGGGGAGGAGAGAGAGAGAGAGAAAACCAGAUUUUUAUAAAAAUCCCAUUUCGAAAUAUUUACGAUUGUGCCACUGGAUUUCUUUUGACCAUAUCUCUCUCGUUACAACUCCGAUUCGAGCCCACUACGUGUCUAUGAACUCGUCUCAGUACGACCUAUCCAAAAAUACAAGUCACGGUCCCAAACUCUCUCUGGUUAAAAAUAUGACUAAAAUACCCUUAAAUAAUUAAAUAAGGGUAAAAUUUGGGGAAAAUUUGGGGUCGGGGUGUUACAUCCUCCCACAAUAUUUUGAAGUUCCCCAAGUUUUGGAGUCAAUCCUAUAUCGAUUGGUCCACGAAAUUUGACAAUUCAGGUUCGGACGAAGUUCGUUCUGAAAUGGAGUGGUUGGUGUAUUGUAUAGUUCUAGGGAUUGGAUUUCACUCAAAACCUAUCAAAUGACUCCUCCAAAAAUAUUAUGAUGUUCCCCAAGUUUUGGACUCAAUUCGAUUUCGAUUGGUCCUUGAAAUCGGAUAAUUCAGGUUCGUACGAUGUUCGUUCUGAAAUGGAGUGGUUGGUGUAUUGUAUAGUUCUAGAAAUUGGAUUUCAUUCAAAACCCACCAAAUGACUCCUCCCGCAAUAUUAUGAUGUUCCUCAAGUUUUGGACUCAAUCCGAUAUCGAUUGGUUAAUGAAAUUGAACAAUUCAAGUUCGUACGAAGUACGUUCCGAAAUGGAGUGGUUGGUUUAUUGUAUAGUUCUAGGGAUUGGAUUUCACUCAAAACCCACCGAAUGACAACUCCCACAAUAUUAAGAUGUUUCCCAAGUUUUGGACUCAAUCUGAUAUCGAUUGUUCCUUGAAAUCGGACAAUUCAGGUUCGUACGAAGUUGGUUCUGAAAUGGGGUGGUUGGUGUAUUGCACAGUUCUAGAGAUUGGAUUUCACUCAAAACCCACCAAAUGACUCCUCCCACAAUAUUAUGAUGUUCCCCAAGUUUUGGACUCAAUCCAAUAUCGAUUGGUUCAUGAAAUCGGACAAUUCAGGUCCGUAUGAAGUUCAUUCUGAAAUGGAGUGGUUACUGUAUUAUAUAGUUCUAGUGAUUGGAUUUCACCCAAACCCCACCAAAUGAGAACUCCCACAAUAUUAUGAUGUGCCCCAAGUUUUGGACUCAAUCCGAUAUCGAUUGGUCAAUGAAAUCGGACAAUUCAAGUUCGUACGAAGUUCGUUCUGAAAAGGAGCGGCUGAUGUAUUGUGCAGUUCUAGAGAUUGGAUUCACUCAAAACCCACCAAAUGACUACUCCAACAAUCUUAUGAUGUUCCCCAAGUUUUGGACUCAAUCCGAUAUCGAUUGAUCCACGAAAUCGGCCAAUUUAGGUUCGUGUGAACUGUGUUUUGAAAUGGAGUGUUUGGUGUAUUGUAUAGUUCUAGAUAUUGGAUUUCACUCAAAAUCAACCAAAUGACUCCUCCCACAAUAUUAUGAUGUUCCCCAAGUUUUGGACUCAAUCCAAUAUCGAUUGGUCCAUGAAAUCGGACAAUUCAGGUCCAUACGAAGUUCGUUUUGAAAUGGAGUGGUUAGUGUAUUAUGUAGUUCUAGGGAUUGGAUUUCACUCAAAACCCACCAAAUGACAACUCCCAUAAUAUUAUGAUGUUCCCCAAUUUUUGGACUCAAUCCGAUAUCGAAUGGUCAAUGAAAUCGGACAAUUCAAGUUCGUAUGAAGUUCGUUCUGAAAUGGAGUGGUUGGUGUAUUGUAUAGUUCUAGGGAUUGGAUUUCACUCAAAACCCACCAAAUGACUCCUCCCACAAUAUUAUGAUGUUCCCCAAGUUUUGGACUGAAUCCGAUAUCGAUUGGUCCAUGAAAUCGGCUAAUUCAGGUUCGUGUGAACUAUGUUCUGAAAUGGAGUGGUUGGUGUAUUGUACAGUUCUAGAGAUUGGAUUUCACUCAAAAUCCCCCAAAUGACUCGUCCCACAAUAUUAUGAGGUUCCCCAAGUUUUGGAGUCAAUCUGAUAUCGAUUGGUCCUUGAAAUCGGCCAAUUCAGGUUCCUGGGAAUUGCGUUCUGAAAUGGAGUGGUUGGUAUAUUGUAUUGUUCUAGAGAUUGGAUUUCACUCAAAAUCCACCAAAUGACUCCUCCUACAAUAUUAUGGUGUUCCCCAAGUUUUGGACUCAAUCCGAUAUCGAUUAGUCCUUGUAAUCGGACAAUUCAGGUUCGUGUGAACUGUGUUCUGAAAUGGAGUGGUUGGGGUGUUGCAUAAUUCUAGAGAUUGGAUUUCACUCAAAAUCCACCAAAUGACUCUUCCCCCAAUAUUUUGAUGUUCCCCCAGUUUUAGACUCAAUCAGAUAUUGAUUGGUCCUUGAAAUCGGACAAUUCAGGUUCGUACGAAGUUCGUUCUGAAAUGGAGUGGUUGGUGUAUUGUAUAGUUCUGCCAAUUGGAUUUCACUCAAAACCCGCCAAAUGACUCCACCCACAAUAUUACGAUGUUCCCCCAGUUUUGGACUCAAUCAGAUAUCGACUGGUCCACGAAAUUUGACAAUUCAGGUUCGUAUGAAGUACGUUCAGAAAUGGAGUGGUUGGUGAAUUGUAUAUAGUUCUAGGGAUUGGAUUUCAUUAAAAACCCACCAAAUGACUCCUCCCACAAUAUUUUGUUGUUCCCCAAGUUUUGGACUCAAUCCGACAUCGAUUGGUCCUUGAAAUCGAACAAUUCAGGUUCGUGCAAAGUUCACUCUAAAAUGGAGUGGCUGAUGUAUUGUAUAGUUCUAGAGAUUGGAUUUCGCUCAAAACCCACCAAAUGACUACUCCCACAAUAUUAUGACGUUCCCCAAGUUUUGGACUCAAUCCGAUAUCAAUUGGUCUUUGAAAUUGGACAAUUCAGGUUUGUACGAAGUUCGUUCUGAAAUGGAGUGGUUGGUGUAUUGUAUAGUUCUAGAGAUUGUAUUUCACUCAAAACCCACCGAAUAACUCCUCCCACAAUACGAUGAUGUUCUCCGUGUUUUGGACUCAAUCCGAAAUCGAUUGGUCCACGAAAUUUGACAAUUCAUGUUCGUACGAAGUUCGUUAUGAAAUGUAGUGGUUGGUGUAUUGUAUAGUUCUAGGGAUUAGAUUUCACUCAAGGCCCACCAAAUGACUCCACCCACAAUAUUACGAUGUUCCCCAAGUUUUGGACUCAAUUCGACAUCGAUUGGUCCUUGAAAUCAGACAAUUCAGGUUCGUACGAAGUUCGUUCUGAAAUGGAGUGGCUGAUGUAUUAUAUAGUGCACGAGAUUGGAUUUCACUCAAAACCCACCAAAUGACUCCGCCCACAAUAUUAUGAUGUUCCCCAAGUUUUGGACUCAAUCCGAUAUCGAUUGGUCCUUGAAAUCGGACAAUUCAGGUUCGUACGAAGUUCGUUCUGCAAUGGGGCGGUUGGUGUGUUGUAUAGUUCUAGGGAUUGUAUUUCACUCAAAACCCACCAAAUGACUCCUCCCAGAAUAUUAUGAUGUUCCCCAAAUUUUGGACUCAAUCCGUUAUCGAUUGGCCAAUGAAAUCGGACAAUUCAGGUUCGUACGAACUUCGUUCUGAAAUGGGGUGGUUGGUGUAUUGUAUAGUUCUAGAGAUUGGAUUUCACUCAACACCUACCAACUGACUCCUCCCACAAUAUUAUGAUGUGCGCCCAGUUUUGGACUCAGUCCGAUAUCGAUUGGUCCUUGAAAUCGGACAAUUCAGGUUCGCACGAAGUUCGUUCUGAAAUGGGGUGGUUGGUGUACUGUAUAGUUCUAGAGAUUGGAUUUCACUCAAAUCCCACCAAAUGACUCCUCCCACAAUAUUAUGAUGUUCCCCAAGUUUUGGACUCAGUCCGAUAUCGAUUGGUCCUUGAAAUUGGACAAUUCAGGUUCGUACGAAGUUCGUUCUGAACUGGGUUGGUUGGUGUAUUGUAUAGUUCUAGAUAUUGGAUUUCAUUCAGAACCUACCAAAUUUCUCCUCCCACAAUAUUAUGGUGUUGCCCAAGUUUUGGACUCAAUCCAAUAUCGAUUGGUCCUUUGAAAUCGGACAAUUCAGGUUUCGUACAAAGUUCGUUCUGAAAUGGGGCGGUUGGUGUCUUUUAUAGUUCUAGAGAUUGGAUUUCACUCAAAACCCACCAAAUGACUCCUCCCAGAAUAUUAUGAUGUUCCCCAAGUUUUGGACUCAAUCCGUUAUCGAUUGGCCAAUGAAAUCGGACAAUUCAGGUUCGUACGAACUUCGUUCUGAAAUGGGGUGGUUGGUGUAUUGUAUAGUUCUAGAGAUUGGAUUUCACUCAACACCUACCAACUGACUCCUCCCACAAUAUUAUGAUGUGCGCCCAGUUUUGGACUCAGUCCGAUAUCGAUUGGUCCUUGAAAUCGGACAAUUCAGGUUCGUACGAAGUUCGUUCUGAAAUGGGGUGGUUGGUGUACUGUAUAGUUCUAGAGAUUGGAUUUCACUCAAAUCCCACCAAAUGACUCCUCCCACAAUAUUAUGAUGUUCCCCAAGUUUUGGACUCAAUCCGAUAUCGAUUGGUCCUUGAAAUAGGACAAUUCAGGUUCGUAUGAAGUUCGUUCUGAAAUGGGGUGGUUUGUGUAUUGUAUAGUUCUAGAGAUUGGAUUUCACUCAAAACCCGCCAACUGACUCCUCCCACAAUAUUAUGAUGUUCCCCAAGUUUUUGACUCAAUCAGAUAUCGAUUCGUCCUUGAAAUCUGACAAUUCAGGUCUGUACGAAGUUCGUUCUGAAAUGGGGUGGUUGGUGUAUUGUAUAGUUCUAGAGAUUGGAUUUCACUCAAAACAAAUCAAAUGACCCAUCCCACAAUAUUAUGCUGUUCCCCAAGUUUCGGACUCAAUCCGAUAUCGAUUGGCCCUUGAAAUCGGACAACUCCGGUUCCUACGAAGUUCGUUCUGAAAUGGUGUGGUUGGUGUAUUGUAUAGUUCUAGAGAUUGGAUUUCACUCAAAACCCACCAAAUGACUCCUCCCACAACAUGAUGAUGUUCCCCAAGUUUUGGACUCAAUCCGAUAUCGAUUGGUCCUUGAAAUCGGACAAUUCAGGUUCCUACGAAGUUCGUUCUGAAAUGGGGUGGUUCGUGUAUUGUAUAGUUCUAGAGAAUGGAUUUCACUCAAAACCCACCAAAUGACUCCUCCCACAAUAUUCUGAUGUUCCCCAAGUUUUUGACUCAAUCCGAUAUCGAUUGGUCCUUGAAAUCGGACAAUUCAGGUUUGUACGAAGUUCGUUCUGAAAUGGGGUGGUUGGUGUAUUGUAUAGUUCUAGAGAUUGGAUUUCACUCAAAACCCGCCAACGGACUCCUCCCACAAUAUUAUGAUGUUCCCCAAGUUUUGGACUCAAU
Molecule: long non-coding RNA, 9560 nt
Filed under: Prunus persica (peach)
Lineage: Eukaryota; Viridiplantae; Streptophyta; Magnoliopsida; Rosales; Rosaceae
Description: long non-coding RNA (PPER_LNC007039)
Source: RNAcentral